Molecule: transfer RNA, 95 nt
Filed under: Syntrophothermus lipocalidus
Lineage: Bacteria; Bacillati; Bacillota; Clostridia; Eubacteriales; Syntrophomonadaceae
Also listed under: 2 other names
Description: tRNA-Ser
Rfam family: tRNA
About the family: Transfer RNA (tRNA) molecules are approximately 80 nucleotides in length. Their secondary structure includes four short double-helical elements and three loops (D, anti-codon, and T loops).
Source: RNAcentral
GGAGAGAUGGCUGAGUGGACGAAAGCGCUCGACUGGAAAUCGAGUAGACGGGGCACAACCUCGUCUCGAGGGUUCGAAUCCCUCUCUCUCCGCCA